Molecule: long non-coding RNA, 317 nt
Filed under: Heterocephalus glaber (naked mole-rat)
Lineage: Eukaryota; Metazoa; Chordata; Mammalia; Rodentia; Bathyergidae
Description: lncRNA (ENSHGLG00100049808.1)
Source: RNAcentral
UGUCAGUGCUCCCAUCUGCACAAUGGGUGCAAGAAGCAUGCCCUGCACAGCUCAGUUGGGCUCUCAGCAGGUUGUCUGUUAAGGCACAGGAGUCCUGGUGGUCACACAGUCACUCUGCAAAGUCUGGCGGCUGCCUCUCCUCUGACCUGCCAUGGCUGGGUGUGCAUCCGCCCUUGGGAGCCCAGCUGGCCUCAGCCCCAGCCAGUCACACAAGCCCCCCUGGCCCAGAGGCAUGGAGAGGAGCCAGGACUGGACCCCACAGCCUCUGAGAUGGACACCAGGCCUCAAGAGGCAGCAACCCAUGUGUGAUCACCCCG